UGGGGAAUAUUGGACAAUGGGCGAAAGCCUGAUCCAGCAAUGCCGCGUGAGUGAUGAAGGCCUUAGGGUUGUAAAGCUCUUUCGCCUGAGACGAUGAUGACGGUAUCAGGAGAAGAAGCCCCGGCUACUUCCGUGCCAGCAGCCGCGGUAAUACGGAAGGGGCUAGCGUUGUUCGGAAUUACUGGGCGUAAAGCGCGCGCAGGCGGUUGGACAAGUGAGGCGUGAAAGCCCUGGGCUCAACCUGGGAAUUGCGCUUCAGACUGUUCGACUGGAGUUCGGGAGAGGGUGGUGGAAUUCGCAGUGGAGAGGUGAAAUUCGUAGAUAUUGGGAGGAACACCGGUGGCGAAGGCGGCCGCCUGGCCCGUAACUGACGCUAUAGCGCGAAAGCGUGGGGAGCAAACA
Molecule: ribosomal RNA, 402 nt
Filed under: uncultured prokaryote
Description: bacterial SSU rRNA
Rfam family: Bacterial small subunit ribosomal RNA
Source: RNAcentral